GAGUUUCUCCCAAUAUCAAAACAAGCUUUGUUUGCUGCUCUCUCUUCUGACUUUCUUCUCAUUCCAUUUUUCUUUCUUGGAAAUUCUCAAGAAAAUGAAAUGUUUUUGUACAGAAAACAUGGGAUUAUGGAGAGAAUAUAGAUUCUCUCUUAAAAACAUACCCAUUUACCAUUAUUUUCUCUCACUCGAAACAACAACAAUAAAUGAGAAAUGAGAGAGAAAUUAUUCUUGACAACAUUCAUGUCACUUCUCAUGUAAGUUUCGUUUGUU
RNAcentral lists this unclassified non-coding RNA (270 nucleotides) under Hevea brasiliensis (rubber tree). The record is from RNAcentral. Lineage: Eukaryota; Viridiplantae; Streptophyta; Magnoliopsida; Malpighiales; Euphorbiaceae.